This 339-nucleotide RNase P RNA is filed under the name chicken gut metagenome. RNAcentral describes it as "Bacterial RNase P class B". It matches the Rfam family "Bacterial RNase P class B". Rfam says of the family: Ribonuclease P (RNase P) is a ubiquitous endoribonuclease, found in archaea, bacteria and eukarya as well as chloroplasts and mitochondria. Its best characterised activity is the generation of mature 5'-ends of tRNAs by cleaving the 5'-leader elements of precursor-tRNAs. The record is from RNAcentral.
UUGGCAAACGCUAUAUUUUAGAAUAUAGAGGAAAGUCCAUGCUCACACAAACUGCGAUGUUUGUAGUGUUCGUGCUAGAGAAAAAAAUAACUCUAGGUAGCAUUUUGCUAACGGCGAUGAAAUAGCCUAAGUCUUAAGAUAUGGCUAAAGUAAUUAUAAAGUGUCAUAGUGACGAGGAAAUUGGAAACAAUGGAAGUGGAACGUGAUAAACCCCACGAGUGAGAAACUCAAAUUUUGGUAGAGGAGCUUUAACGAAGGAAUAAAACAGAGUUAAGGACUAAUGAAAAUUAGUAGAUAAAUGUUUGCCACCUAGAAAUAGGUACAGAACAUGGCUUAUAA